GGGCCCUUCGUUUUAAAUUGCCCUGUCUGCAGAGUUCGGGUUGGAUCUAGUAGGAGACGAGGCAUAGUCACCCGCUUUUCGGCCAGUUUUCAUCAGUAGGUUACCUGUUCAACCUACUCGUGUUUUCUUGCUUCCGCUUGUGUUUAGUAGCUCUGAAUACUUUGGGAUUAUUGUAUAUUAUGUGAGGUUCGGAAGUGUUGAAUUAAGAGUGUAAUAUGAAAUUUUCGAGUUAGGGUUGUCCAUCUGCAAGGGAGAUUUUCUUAAUCUUUUCAGUAAAUUUUCGUUGGAGGUGGUCCCCGCACGACUUACUCUGGGUUUCAGGGUGAAAUUCGGGGUGGGUCGUGUCAUCUAAAUACUUUAAGAUUUUCGGUGCUAUAUUCCAUUAUCAUGUGUAGUUGAUACAAGUAGUUGAUAUUGCAUGUGUUAAUCAUCCAAAGUUCGACUUUUAUACACGUAGUUGAUAAGUUGCAUUGUCUUUGUUAUUUCACCGAUUUUCUACCUAUGUUUGAUUUGGACUUGUGCUUAAACACAUCGAUUCUUUAUGUGAUACGUAAUUGCAUGAUUAGUUUAUGUGUGUGACCUAUAAGUAGAGCACGUAGCCGAGCUUGUUGUGUCGCGAUGUUGAAUGAAACCCGUAGUCUAAUUCUAAGUAGGUCUAUGUCAUAGGAACCACGUAGGAACUUAUGUGCAUAUCAAAUUUAGGUUGUAUAUUUGCUCACGGUGUAGACUUAAAUGAGAUUAGAAAUCGUUUUCUUUAUUCUUGCAUGGUUGUUUGGUUGAGUUUGCAUGAAUGUUGGUUGAUCACAUGUAUAUAUGUAUAGAAGUAAUUUAGGAUUUAUUAUUAAUGUUGUUCCGAAAUCAUAAAACCUUUAAACCUAUAUGCUUAUUUCGAUAUUUACAUUAGAUUAGAUGGAUCUACCCUGUAGUUGGAUCCCCGGUUUAGAACGAUCCCUGCUUGCUUUAUACUACGACUGAUUUGUUGACAGGGUUAAUUGAUGCGUGUGCAAAUACGUCUUAUCAGCAGCAGAUGGCACAUUAUUUUCAGCAUACUGAUGGUGGGAAUCAUGCUAUGACCCAAGGUUCAAGCUCUUACUGUGCUCAAAGCCAGACUUUUGGAGCAAACACCAUGUGCAGUACUGUGCACUUUUGGAGCAAACACCAUGUGCAGUACUGUGCACCCCUUCUCCCAGCUCCAUAUGCAUAAUAGUGACCCUCUCCCUAAUACUGCUUCUUUUGGACCCCCUCCCUUGCCUUUCCACCAUACUCCUCCUGUGUCCUACCCUCAAGCACUAACGUACCAUCAAACACAGCCUUAUCCCCAAACACAAACCACAUAUGCUGUCACAUCCCGACCCUUAUAUUUUUACCUUAUUUACUAGCGUGAUUAUAAUAAGAAUUUUACCGUCUCGAUCAUUGAGUAAAUAGUUUAAUUGGUCCCUAGAGGGGUUUC
This 1450-nucleotide long non-coding RNA is filed under the name Fragaria vesca (wild strawberry). RNAcentral's name for it is "long non-coding RNA (FVES_LNC005660)". The record is from RNAcentral. Lineage: Eukaryota; Viridiplantae; Streptophyta; Magnoliopsida; Rosales; Rosaceae.